GGCGUCCCACGCCCCCUUCCGGCCGGGGGCGCGCGGGUGCGGCGGGGCGGGGCGCGGAGCGGGAGCACACCCGUCCCCGUCGCUGCCCGCGGAAUGGGUGAGAUUUGUUUGUUUGUUAAUAAUCAUUUCUUCUGUCAACUCCUCCUUCAUCCAAAAAUAGCGACAAAGUGGGAAGGCCAAGUCUCACAAAACGCCCCCGCGCGAAAACAAGGGUCGGCUUGGGCUCCCUGAAACGCAUUCUUUGAGGAGUUGCCUGAAGUGUCGUAUAUUUAAUGUCCAAAAGACUGGGGUAAAAUUUUGUCUGCAUGUCUUGCAUAUGAAGAAACAGAAGCAAAAGCUAUACAUGGAAAAGAAUACUUCUCCAGACUUGACUCAAAUCUUCCUAAAGAAAGUUCUUUUCCCAAUUUUAAUUCUUUAGUAAUAUCCAUUGCUUUUCUAGUAUAAUCAAUAACAUUUCUGGAUCACCCUAAUAAAGAGUAUUUUACUUUAAA
Marmota monax (woodchuck) is the source of this 491-nucleotide long non-coding RNA. RefSeq lists it as uncharacterized. The transcript is spliced from 2 exons. Lineage: Eukaryota; Metazoa; Chordata; Mammalia; Rodentia; Sciuridae. The record is from RefSeq and is a predicted model, not a curated record.